GCUAGGCAUGGUGGCUCAUGUCUGCACUCCCAGCUACUUGGGAGGCUGAGGCAGGAGGAUCACUUGAGCCCAGGAGGUCAAGACUGCAGUGAGCUGUGAUCACACCACUGCACUCCAGCCUGGGUGACAGAGUGAGACUCUGUCUCAA
Non-coding RNA from Pan troglodytes (chimpanzee), 148 nucleotides. It matches the Rfam family "Metazoan signal recognition particle RNA". From Rfam's summary of the family: The signal recognition particle (SRP) is a universally conserved ribonucleoprotein. It is involved in the co-translational targeting of proteins to membranes. The eukaryotic SRP consists of a 300-nucleotide 7S RNA and six proteins: SRPs 72, 68, 54, 19, 14, and 9. Lineage: Eukaryota; Metazoa; Chordata; Mammalia; Primates; Hominidae. The record is from Rfam.